UGCAGAUCCAAUUUUCUGCCACCGAAUACAUUAGCAUGGGAUAAUGGAAUAGGACCCUGUCCUCCUAUUUUCAGUUGGUUUUGGCAGCGCGAGGACUAGGGUAAUGAUUAAUAGGGAUAGUUGGGGGCAUUAAUAUUUAAUUGUCAGAGGUGAAAUUCUUGGAUUUAUGAAAGAUUAACUUCUGCGAAAGCAUCUGCCAAGGAUGUUUUCAUUAAUCAAGAACGAAAGUUAGGGGAUCGAAGACGAUCAGAUACCGUCGUAGUCUUAACCAUAAACGAUGCCGACCAGCGAUUAGGAGACGUUGAAUACAAAACACCACCAUCGGCGCGGUCGUCCUUGGCGUCUGUCCCUUUCAACGGGGGCAGGCGCGAGGGCGGUUUAGCCCGGUGGCACCGGUGAAUGACUCCCCUAGCASCUUGUGAGAA
Molecule: ribosomal RNA, 425 nt
Filed under: Acanthamoeba genotype T4
Lineage: Eukaryota; Discosea; Longamoebia; Acanthamoebidae
Description: SSU rRNA
Rfam family: Eukaryotic small subunit ribosomal RNA
Source: RNAcentral